UCUAGGUCGGUGGAUGCAGUGAUUUGACCAGCCACCUGGAAAGUUCCCGUAUAUGAAAAAGACACUUCUGGGAAAGUGACAUUUGGACAGACAAGUGAAAGAGGAAGCUGGGGCUGUGAUUCGGGCCCAGAAAAUUCUAGAAAUAGGGGCAAGCAAGCCCGAGUAGGAAGACGUGAUGAUGACAGCUUUGGUGUUCAGAGGGCAAGAAACUUUUGUGUCCAUUUUCCUGUCCUUUCCUGAUGAAAGCAAGGAUCCACCCAUGAAGUCUUCUCCGGCGUGUGGAGCUGUGACUUCUCCGCUCCAGAAACAUCCAAGGAAAUGUUCUCUAGAUUUUCGCCAGAAUGUGACCCCAAGUUACCCUGGAAAGCUUCACACUGAACUCCCUUCCUUAGAAACAGUUUGUACUCAGGAUGAAGGGAUAUUUAGAGCCCGAGGAAGACUAUGCAAACGUGUACCUCAGGACAUCUGUGCAGUGGGAGGGGAUUGCAGUGGGGUCGCACAACACUGUGAAUUAUGACAAAUAUGUUUUGGAAGUUUCUAGAAAUU
Myodes glareolus (Bank vole) is the source of this 546-nucleotide long non-coding RNA. RefSeq lists it as uncharacterized. Lineage: Eukaryota; Metazoa; Chordata; Mammalia; Rodentia; Cricetidae. The record is from RefSeq and is a predicted model, not a curated record.